GACGAACGCUGGCGGCGUGCUUAACACAUGCAAGUCGAACGGAAAGGCCCUGCUUUUGUGUGGUGCUCGAGUGGCGAACGGGUGAGUAACACGUGAGUAACCUGCCCUUGACUUUGGGAUAACUUCAGGAAACUGGGGCUAAUACCGGAUAGGAGCUCCUGCUGCAUGGUGGGGGUUGGAAAGUUUCGGCGGUUGGGGAUGGACUAGCGGCUUAUCAGCUUGUUGGUGGGGUAGUGGCUUACCAAGGCUUUGACGGGUAGCCGGCCUGAGAGGGUGACCGGCCACAUUGGGACUGAGAUACGGCCCAGACUCCUACGGGAGGCAGCAGUGGGGAAUAUUACACAAUGGGCGGAAGCCUGAUGCAGCAACGCCGCGUGCGGGAUGACGGCCUUCGGGUUGAAAACCGCUUUCGCCUGUGACGAAGCGUGAGUGACGGUAAUGGGUAAAGAAGCACCGGCUAACUACGUG
Molecule: ribosomal RNA, 468 nt
Filed under: uncultured bacterium
Lineage: Bacteria
Description: partial 16S ribosomal RNA
Rfam family: Bacterial small subunit ribosomal RNA
Source: RNAcentral